CAGCUCUGUCCAAAGCCUGUCUGCUGCCCUGGUUGACUCGGUCCUGGAGCUGCUUCCACCCACCUCUGGCACUGAUGGGGGCAGCUCGGCCUGCCGUCCUCAGGCUCCCUCCACACCUGGGGAACAGAGUUGACUGGCCCUCAGAUCUCAUGUUGAGUGCAGAGCGUGUGGCCCCGCCUGGGCCCCUCAGCAGAGAACUUUCAACUCCGAGUUGCCUCCAGCUCACAGGCCCCUCCUCUGACCUGAGCUCCGACUGACCCCUGGUGGACUUGGGUGAUCCCUCAGAGCCCACAGCAUGAGGGUGCCUUGGGAGGACCAGGUAGGCCUGAAGGUCGGUCUCAGCAGAGACGUCCAGAUGAGAUGCUGAGAUUAAGGGAUUUGCCCAAGAUCACAGAGAUCACAGAGCUGUAAGUGGUUAAAGCUGGAGUUUACAAAGUGUCUUUUGAUUCCUAACUCAGUGCUCUUUCUAAGAGAGCACAGAAGAUGAACAUUCUGGAGAGGAGGCUGAGAUGGGAGCAAGCCCGUCUCCCACCCGCCCCAGUUGGAGUUCCCUCCCGUUUGAAAGCAGAGCUCGCUGCAGCAGGAGGCCUGUGAUCAGCGUUUCUGUCGUCUCCAAACCAACUGCGAGAAACUGCCUAAUUAAAGUCUGCAGCAUGCCCAGAAGCCUCUGCAGCUGCCAGUUGUUGCCUGUGCAUUCUCAGCGCCCGAUGAUGAAUAUUCUUCAUGUUUAUGUGGCACGAUGCUCUCUGCUCCAGGAGCAUGAAGUAUUAGUGAGCCAAUUGCACCAUCCACGCAGCUCCAGAGCGACCAGCAGGCAUCCCUGUUCUAAUUUAUGAGGGACCAGCAUGUGCAAUCAAUAGGUGCCCCACAGGUUAUUAAAGAAGAGAAGGAUGGCCCCGGAGGCCCUGUUUACUAACAGGGAAAUGGUCUCCUGGCAGCUUCUGGCACAUGGCCUGAGAGAGAUUUACAUUUGCUUUUCCGUCCAGAAACAGGGGCCUUCCCUUUUCAUCUCAGCCCUAAACCUGAGAACAAGGGGCUGGUGGAGGCACAGACAGAAAAUGCCCUUCUCUACACUGGAAUCCCGGAGGGGGCUCGGGGAACCAGGGGUCUGAGGGUAGGGACCAGCCCAAAGGUUCCAUCAGGCCAUUUAUGUUUUGAGCCCCAGAAAACAAUAACAUCCCAGGAUCUGGGUUGAGACAUAGCGGGUGGAAGUAGAUGGAUGGUGUGCAGUCACGCCAAUGAAGCAAAAAGAAAUAGGCGAUUCCUACCAGGACACCAGAAGGGGAGGUGGUCCUUGAUCAGCCCUGCAAGGCUUUGGGGAUGUUAUUAUUCACAUCUUUUGCCUUUUCUCUUUGUUUUGGGUCCCUCGAUUUCAGGAAUCUGCAGUUCUUUUGCAGUUUUCUUAACAGGUUUGGAGAAACAGGGCAGGUUGGGUUUAAAAAUAAAACAGUAACAGCAUUGGCUUAUUUGGGUUACUUGAGUGGAGUGGAAAGAAGAAGCUCCCUCCAGCUCCUGUCUGGAAGGCAGAGCAGUGUAAUGUAGCGGCGCUUGCUCAAACUCGCCCGUGUCAGCACCACUUUCCACUCUGAAAAUGGAUGUAGUUUAUGUCUAUCAGUAGAAAAUCUAAAAUGUUUAUUAAAUAAUGUUAAAAUAACAAUAAUAAAGCCAUUACAUAUUAACAUCAAUAACAUAGUGUAUUAAAAAAAUGUAUCUUCCAAAACAAAAUUAAAUUCGGGAAGAGUGACUUUUUUUAACUUAAAAAAAUUUUUUUACGAUUUAAAGAAAACGUCUGGAUUAAUAGAAAGUAAGUGGAUUCUCAUAUCUGCAGUCAACAUGUUGCAAUAUGUUGCUUUGGCUAAAGUAUAUGAAGCCAAUCCAGCUUUACACAGAUAUGUGGCUAGAAAAACAAAAAGCAUUUAAUAGUCUUUUAAAGUAAUAUAGAUAUUCAUUUUGAUACUGUACUAAAAUAUAACCAGCUUCCUUUUUUUAAGAUUUUAUUUAUUUAUUUUAGAGAGAGGGGAAGGGAGAAAGAGAGGGAGAGAAACAUCAAUGUGUGGUUGCUACUCACAUGGCCCUCACUGGGGACCUGGCCCACAACCCAGGCAUGUGCCCUGACUGGGAACUGAACCAGCGACCCUUUGGUUUGCAGCCCGCACAAAUGUAACCAGCUUCUAAAAGGCUAGUUGCAAUGUGGAAUCUGAAAGCAUAGCAGUGAACUUUCUUUCUGUUACAUUAAAAUCCACUGCCUUAUUGUGUACUUUGAA
Phyllostomus hastatus (greater spear-nosed bat) is the source of this 2264-nucleotide long non-coding RNA. RefSeq lists it as uncharacterized. NCBI's taxonomy places the organism in Eukaryota, Metazoa, Chordata, Mammalia, Chiroptera, Phyllostomidae. The record is from RefSeq and is a predicted model, not a curated record. The transcript is spliced from 2 exons.